AUGCACGCUUGCGGCGUGCCUAAUACAUGCCAGUCGAGCGAACGGACGAGAAGCUUGCUUCUCUGAUGUUAGCGGCGGACGGGUGAGUAACACGUGGAUAACCUACCUAUAAGACUGGGAUAACUUCGGGAAACCGGAGCUAAUACCGGAUAAUAUUUUGAACCGCAUGGUUCAAAAGUGAAAGACGGUCCUGCUGUCACUUAUAGAUGGAUCCGCGCUGCAUUAGCUAGUUGGUAAGGUAACGGCUUACCAAGGCAACGAUGCAUAGCCGACCUGAGAGGGUGAUCAGCCACACUGGAACUGAGACACGGUCCAGACUCCUACGGGAGGCAGCAGUAGGGAAUCUUCCGCAAUGGGCGAAAGCCUGACGGAGCAACGCCGCGUGAGUGAUGAAGGUCCUCGGAUCGUAAAACUCUGUUAUUAGGGAAGAACAUAUGUGUAAGUAACUGUGCACAUCUUGACGGUACCUAAUCAGAAAGCCACGGCUAACUACGUG
This 496-nucleotide ribosomal RNA is filed under the name uncultured bacterium. RNAcentral's name for it is "partial 16S ribosomal RNA". It matches the Rfam family "Bacterial small subunit ribosomal RNA", at positions 29 to 507 of the family's 1533-position model. The record is from RNAcentral.